Molecule: small nuclear RNA, 18 nt
Filed under: Arabidopsis thaliana (thale cress)
Lineage: Eukaryota; Viridiplantae; Streptophyta; Magnoliopsida; Brassicales; Brassicaceae
Description: snRNA_04772
Source: RNAcentral
GUAGCUAAAAGAAUGGUC